UCCAGGUGUGGGGAACCAAAGGACAAUAAUUCCAAGAGUAAUUGACCUGGAAAUAAAAAGGAUGCAUAGUUUUAAAAUAUUUCAUCAUACCAGCCUGUGCAAAGUGGAAGAGAGAAACAGUGGACCGAGAGGUACUAAUAUGGAAUGGGGCUCUUGAGAAACAAAUGUGAUGUAUCAUGAGAACAGCAGUCAGAGCCCUUUUGGGAAACCUAUAGUUCUGUUUGUGGGACGGGACCAUGAGGCACACACCAAACCUAGAGACAAGACAUUCCUGUGCCAGUAGCCACAGUGCAGGUGCCGGCUUUUAGCGCCACCCACUGAGUCCCACUGGAAUAACAGCAACAUUGAGCUCUCCUCUGUUUUUAAGAACCCACGGGCCCCUGAAGCAGAGCAGGAACCCACAAUAUGCAGCCGCUCUCCCUGUGAGGAAGUGGCCAAAGCUGGCAUGAUGUUCUAAGAGCAACUGAUAGAGCACGCACCAUCAGUAUCUGAGAGGGAACACAAAUGGUUCUCAAGGCACCUGAGUGGGAUAUGUCUGUGUGUCUCCAGUGACAUUGAUCACGGAUGAGGACAGCCAAGGGCAAAUCACCUGCCUUACUGCACCAAACAGGCAGAAGCUGGUCCCAAAGGGGCUUUCAGAAUGGAGGGGUUUGAGUGUGAACAGGAAUGUAAAUGUAGUUUGAGUGUGAACAGUAAUGUAAAUUUACCUUCUGCUGUAACUCUAUGCACUUCUCCUGGGCUAGCGCUGCUCUUUGUAAAUUCCCCAUCUGUCUGGAUUGUUUUUAUUUUCUUUACUCACAAGGCCACACCACCUGAGAUGCUCACAGGAAACUCGCUGUAAUGAAGAA
This is a long non-coding RNA of Pyrgilauda ruficollis (rufous-necked snowfinch), 848 nucleotides long. RefSeq lists it as uncharacterized. Lineage: Eukaryota; Metazoa; Chordata; Aves; Passeriformes; Passeridae. The record is from RefSeq and is a predicted model, not a curated record. The transcript has 4 exons.